Spermophilus dauricus (Daurian ground squirrel) is the source of this 78-nucleotide small nucleolar RNA. Its record names the gene SNORD115. It matches the Rfam family "Small nucleolar RNA SNORD115". Rfam says of the family: HBII-52 is a member of the C/D class of snoRNAs, which contain the C (UGAUGA) and D (CUGA) box motifs. HBII-52 is encoded in a tandemly repeated array with another C/D snoRNA, HBII-85, in the Prader-Willi syndrome (PWS) region of chromosome 15. HBII-52 is exclusively expressed in the brain but is absent in PWS patients. The record is from Ensembl. Lineage: Eukaryota; Metazoa; Chordata; Mammalia; Rodentia; Sciuridae.
GUGUAUAUAUGUGUAGAGAAUAUCUUAAGGAGACAUGAUGAUGUAAAAAUCAUGCUCAAUGGGACUAUGCUAAGGCUC